UUUCAGGGCAGGGUGCAAUUCCCGACCGGCGGUACAGUCCGCGAGCCGCAUAAUUUUUGCGUGCUGAAUCGGUGCAACUCCGAUACCGACAGUGACAGUCUGGAUGGAAGAAA
Molecule: non-coding RNA, 113 nt
Filed under: human gut metagenome
Description: FMN riboswitch (RFN element)
Rfam family: FMN riboswitch aptamer (RFN element)
About the family: The RFN element is a highly conserved domain that is found frequently in the 5'-untranslated regions of prokaryotic mRNAs that encode for flavin mononucleotide (FMN) biosynthesis and transport proteins. This element is a metabolite-dependent riboswitch that directly binds FMN in the absence of proteins.
Source: RNAcentral